GAUGCUUUAGUGCCUUCGGGAACUCUGAGACAGGUGCUGCAUGGCUGUCGUCAGCUCGUGUUGUGAAAUGUUGGGUUAAGUCCCGNAACGAGCGCAACCCUUAUCCUUUGUUGCCAGCACGUAAUGGUGGGAAACUCAAAGGAGACUGCCGGUGAUAAACCGGAGGAAGGUGGGGAUGACGUCAAGUCAUCAUGGCCCUUACGAGUAGGGCUACACACGUGCUACAAUGGCGCAUACAAAGAGAAGCGACCUCGCGAGAGCAAGCGGACCUCAUAAAGUGCGUCGUAGUCCGGAUUGGAGUCUGCAACUCGACUCCAUGAAGUCGGAAUUGCUAGUAAUCGUAAAUCAGAAUGUUACGGUGAAUACGUUCCCGGGCCUUGUACACACCGCCCGUCACACCAUGGGAGUGGGUUGCAAAAGAAGUAGAUAGCUUAACCUUCGGGAGGGCGUUUACCACUUUGUGAUUCAUGACUGGGGUGAAGUCGUAACAAGGUAGGCGUAGUGCU
Molecule: ribosomal RNA, 506 nt
Filed under: uncultured bacterium
Lineage: Bacteria
Description: bacterial SSU rRNA
Rfam family: Bacterial small subunit ribosomal RNA
Source: RNAcentral